This 225-nucleotide ribosomal RNA is filed under the name uncultured bacterium. RNAcentral describes it as "partial 16S ribosomal RNA". It matches the Rfam family "Bacterial small subunit ribosomal RNA", at positions 28 to 254 of the family's 1533-position model. The record is from RNAcentral.
GACGAACGCUGGCGGCGUGCUUAACACAUGCAAGUCGAGCGGUAAGGCCCUUUCGGGGGUACACGAGCGGCGAACGGGUGAGUAACACGUGGGUGACCUGCCUCUAGCUCUGGGAUAAGCCCGGGAAACUGGGUCUAAUACUGGAUAUGACUCCAUGACGCAUGUUGUGGGGUGGAAAGCCUUGUGCGGCUAGAGAUGGGCCCGCGGCCUAUCAGCUUGUUGGGG